AAUAUAUUUAAGCACAAGUCACAGAUCGCUAUAAGCAACACGUACAUAACCAUUUCUCCUCCGUCGCAAGACUUAAAAUCUUCCCAUUCCCGCAAAAAGCUCAUUUCCUUAGUCAGCUCCAUACUCACUUUGCAACGUCAUGCCGGAGGAACUCGUGGCGCCAUCACGUUUAAUACGCACUUAACUUUGCAUGCGGCGUUGUUUCAUGCGCCGUCAUUAAUUAUCCGCAAAAAGUUUCAAUCCAAAGGAAGUGGAUAGAGACUACUUUUGUCGGUCUGUCUCGGCUUCCGGUCGAUGCAGCCGGCGCGCCCUAACCUGUACAGACUCGUGACACUUUACUUGCGCUAGGCGAAAGAUUAAUGACACUUACUUGGGUAACUCUGCCGCCGCAUCCCAUUAAUACAUUACACGAUGUCCAUCUCUCUCUUUCUCGCGCUUCUCGAUCAUUGACAUCGUCGACUCAUCGUCGUCGCCGUUCAGAAACGAAUAGAUGUCGCUCUCGAAGAUUCGAUGCUCGAUGCUCUUCUCGCGUGUUAUAUCUCGUAAAUUUCAUUCCAUGGCCAAUCAACGAGCCAAGUCGAAUCGAACGUUUCUCGACGCUAGGCGUCGCCUCUCUCGGCAUGCAUCGCGCCAUUUCCUUCUGUUUAAUCUCUGAUUAAGUCGACUGAUUGUGCUAAUUGCUCUUUGCGAAUUACUUGUGUUUUACGACGUGUUCGUAAGACAUCCAUUCCAAGGAUGUUUCUUGCUGGCUCCCGUGCAAUUGGAAGAUUCUCUUCUUUCAGAGGAGGAUUCGAGACGAUUGAAAUACGAUAUGACGCUUAGUUUUACGAAAUAAAAAGGGACGCGUGUGUGAAAACAAUUGGAAAAAGAAAUAGCACUUGAUAUUAAGAAUACUUUACUUUAUGAUUUGUCAAGAAUUAAAUCUUUGACGGGUGAAAUAUCAUCGGUUGUCCAACAUCGUCUUUCAAACGGAGCAGCAAAUGUCAAUUCCUGCGGAAAGGUUCAUCGUGCAUCCGACUGCAACGGCACGAAAUUGCGACGUAUCUGUCUCCGAGG
Long non-coding RNA from Apis dorsata (giant honeybee), 1056 nucleotides. RefSeq lists it as uncharacterized. The transcript has 2 exons. Lineage: Eukaryota; Metazoa; Arthropoda; Insecta; Hymenoptera; Apidae. The record is from RefSeq and is a predicted model, not a curated record.